CAGUCGCCGCGGUAAUACGUAGGGUGCGAGCGUUGUCCGGAAUUAUUGGGCGUAAAGAGCUCGUAGGCGGCUUGUCGCGUCGAAUGUGAAAGCCCGGGGCUUAACUCCGGGUCUGCAUUCGAUACGGGCAGGCUAGAGUGUGGUAGGGGAGAUCGGAAUUCCUGGUGUAGCGGUGAAAUGCGCAGAUAUCAGGAGGAACACCGGUGGCGAAGGCGGAUCUCUGGGCCAUUACUGACGCUGAGGAGCGAAAGCGUGGGGAGCGAACAGGAUUAGAUACCCGAGUAGUCCCUGUCUCUUAUAC
Molecule: ribosomal RNA, 301 nt
Filed under: uncultured bacterium
Lineage: Bacteria
Description: partial 16S ribosomal RNA
Rfam family: Bacterial small subunit ribosomal RNA
Source: RNAcentral